AUUGAAGCUUGCUUCAAUUGCCGGCGACCGGCGCACGGGUGAGUAACGCGUAUCCAACCUUCCGUACACUCAGGGAUAGCCUUUCGAAAGAAAGAUUAAUACCUGAUGGUAUGAUGAGAUUGCAUGAUAGCAUCAUUAAAGAUUUAUCGGUGUACGAUGGGGAUGCGUUCCAUUAGGUAGUAGGCGGGGUAACGGCCCACCUAGCCGACGAUGGAUAGGGGUUCUGAGAGGGUGAUCGGCCACAUUGGAACUGAGACACGGUCCAAACUCC
Molecule: ribosomal RNA, 271 nt
Filed under: uncultured Bacteroides sp.
Lineage: Bacteria; Pseudomonadati; Bacteroidota; Bacteroidia; Bacteroidales; Bacteroidaceae
Description: partial 16S ribosomal RNA
Rfam family: Bacterial small subunit ribosomal RNA
Source: RNAcentral